This 704-nucleotide long non-coding RNA is filed under the name Gadus morhua (Atlantic cod). Its description in RNAcentral is "lncRNA (ENSGMOG00000036259.1)". Lineage: Eukaryota; Metazoa; Chordata; Actinopteri; Gadiformes; Gadidae. The record is from RNAcentral.
AUGUUUGAGAAAGCGCGGUUCGGUGGGACUUUGUCUGCUGCAGCCAAGCCGAAUGUCAAUCUGACCAGGAGGCCUGUUGAGCGUCCCUCCAGCCCUGCCACUGUCCCGUCUGGGAGAAGCACUCCAUCCGCUACCCCACCUCGAGUGACGCCCCCUUCCAGUCCCAGCUUCUACUGGCCUGUCUCCCCUUUCUCUCUGCCUCCAUCCAGCCCUGUCAUGUCGGCGGUUGUAUCAGAUACGAGUCCUGCUCCUCCAGGUCUCCUCCCUGCUCCUCCUGGUCCCCUCCCUGCUCCUCCAGGUCUCCUCUCUGCUCCUCCUGGUCCCCUCCCUGCUCCUCCUGGUCCCCUCCCUGCUCCUCCUGGUCCCCUCCCUGCUCCUCCUGGUCCCCUCCCUGCUCCUCCUCUUGCUGCUCCAGAUCAGUUCUGGCUGCCGGUGGAAAUGAGGAAGACCAUUCCCCAGCAGGACCAGCGCUGGAUUGCGUCCACACUGUGGAGGAACCAGCGGCUGCGCCCGGACGUCCAGCUCUGGUAUGAGCCACCGGUUCCUGCCCUCAUCUACAACCAGGUCCCGUCACCAGACCGCUUUUUUAUGCACCCUGCCACUCCUCCGAGUCCCUGACCAAGGAGCAGUGGUUGGCGCAGAGGAGGAACAAAGAUCACCCGUGUUAAAUCUAUAUGUUAUAUGUUAAAAUAAACAUGUUUAUA